GGACCCGCACAAGUAGUGGAGCAUGUGGUUUAAUUCGAAGAUACGCGCAGAACCUUACCAACACUUGACAUGUUCGUCGCGACUCUAAGAGAUUAGAGUUUUCGGUUCGGCCGGACGAAACACAGGUGCUGCAUGGCUGUCGUCAGCUCGUGUCGUGAGAUGUUGGGUUAAGUCCCGCAACGAGCGCAACCCUCACUUUUAGUUGCCAUCAUUAAGUUGGGCACUCUGAAAGAACUGCCAGUGAUAAGCUGGAGGAAGGUGGGGAUGACGUCAAGUCCUCAUGGCCCUUACGUGUUGGGCUACACACGUGCUACAAUGGUAUCUACAACAGGAAGCAAAACGGCAACGUUAAGCAAAUCCCGAAAAGAUACCUCAGUUCGGAUUGCACUCUGCAACUCGAGUGCAUGAAGCUGGAAUUACUAG
This 423-nucleotide ribosomal RNA is filed under the name uncultured bacterium. Its description in RNAcentral is "bacterial SSU rRNA". It matches the Rfam family "Bacterial small subunit ribosomal RNA", at positions 917 to 1338 of the family's 1533-position model. The record is from RNAcentral.